GUGGGGAAUAUUGGACAAUGGGCGCAAGCCUGAUCCAGCCAUGCCGCGUGAGUGAUGAAGGCCUUAGGGUUGUAAAGCUCUUUCAGUGGGGACGAUAAUGACGGUACCCACAGAAGAAGCCCCGGCUAACUUCGUGCCAGCAGCCGCGGUAAUACGAAGGGGGCUAGCGUGGUUCGGAUUUACUGGGCGUAAAGCGCACGUAGGCGGAUCGUUAAGUCGGGGGUGAAAUCCUGGAGCUCAACUCCAGAACUGCCUUCGAUACUGGCGAUCUUGAGUCCGGAAGAGGUGAGUGGAACUCCUAGUGUAGAGGUGGAAUUCGUAGAUAUUAGGAAGAACACCAGUGGCGAAGGCGGUUCACUGGUCCGGUACUGACGCUGAGGUGCGAAAGCGUGGGGAGCAAACAGGAUUAGAAACCCUGGUAGUCC
RNAcentral lists this ribosomal RNA (425 nucleotides) under uncultured bacterium. Its description in RNAcentral is "bacterial SSU rRNA". It matches the Rfam family "Bacterial small subunit ribosomal RNA", at positions 354 to 796 of the family's 1533-position model. The record is from RNAcentral.